RNAcentral lists this unclassified non-coding RNA (294 nucleotides) under air metagenome. RNAcentral describes it as "partial contains small subunit ribosomal RNA, internal transcribed spacer 1, and 5.8S ribosomal RNA". The stretch from base 1 to 46 matches the Rfam family "Eukaryotic small subunit ribosomal RNA", at positions 1786 to 1831 of the family's 1831-position model. The record is from RNAcentral.
AAGUCGUAACAAGGUUUCCGUAGGUGAACCUGCGGAAGGAUCAUUACAGAGCGUGAGGCUCAGUCGUGGCGUCAGCUGCGUGCUGGGCCGACCCUCCCACCCGUGUCGAUUUCUAUCUUGUUGCUUUGGCGGGCCGGGCUACGUCGUCGCUGCCCGUACGGACAUGCGUCGGCCGCCCACCGGUUUCGACUGGAGCGCGUCCGCCAAAGACCUAACCAAAACUCAUGUUGUCUUUGUCGUCUCAGCUUUAUUAUUGAAUUGAUAAAACUUUCAACAACGGAUCUCUUGGCUCUG